AAAAGAUUAAAAGGAGUCUUGAAGCCAGCUGCUAAUCUCAAGGGAUUCGCUGUGUCAGUGGAGAUGAGGUCUCCUACAGGAUGAAGCAAAACAAGAGCCCACACAUCCUCUCUUGAUUGCAAGGUGACACCAUCCAGAUUUCCAGGGUUGUUUUCAUUUCCUCCUGCCUUCCACUGGAAGACAUCAGACCUUCCCAAGAGAGGCCAGCUUCAGAGUCUGAAAGCCAAAUGACCUAGAACAGCUGCAGCACGACAUAAGGAAUGCCAGUAGUGAGUUAAAGAAGAUAUUUGUGUCAAAAAGCAGAAGAGAAAGAGCUAUGCAGUGCACAGCACAGAAAACAUCAGCCCUGAAGCUGUAAUAAGGGAAGAAUUGUGUGCAGCCACCACGACCAGGUUGUGUUAAUGGUAGUGUACAAUGUUAUCCUCUUCUGGACAGAGCACGUCCUAAUUACCAACACAAAGACCCUUCUUUG
Passer domesticus (house sparrow) is the source of this 472-nucleotide long non-coding RNA. RefSeq lists it as uncharacterized. The transcript is spliced from 3 exons. The record is from RefSeq and is a predicted model, not a curated record. NCBI's taxonomy places the organism in Eukaryota, Metazoa, Chordata, Aves, Passeriformes, Passeridae.